This 469-nucleotide ribosomal RNA is filed under the name uncultured bacterium. RNAcentral describes it as "bacterial SSU rRNA". It matches the Rfam family "Bacterial small subunit ribosomal RNA", at positions 331 to 792 of the family's 1533-position model. The record is from RNAcentral.
CCAGACUCCUACGGGAGGCAGCAGUGGGGAAUAUUGCGCAAUGGGCGAAAGCCUGACGCAGCGACGCCGCGUGAGGGAUGAAGGUUUUCGGAUCGUAAACCUCUGUCAGAAGGGAAGAAAGUGCGUGGUGCUAAUCAGCCGCGUAUUGACGGUACCUUCAAAGGAAGCACCGGCUAACUCCGUGCCAGCAGCCGCGGUAAUACGGAGGGUGCGAGCGUUAAUCGGAAUUACUGGGCGUAAAGCGCACGUAGGCUGUUGUGUAAGUCAGGGGUGAAAUCCCACGGCUCAACCGUGGAACUGCCCUUGAUACUGCAUGACUGGAAUCCGGGAGAGGGUGGCGGAAUUCCAGGUGUAGGAGUGAAAUCCGUAGAUAUCUGGAGGAACAUCAGUGGCGAAGGCGGCCACCUGGACCGGUAUUGACGCUGAGGUGCGAAAGCGUGGGGAGCAAACAGGAUUAGAUACCCCAGUA